Molecule: ribosomal RNA, 128 nt
Filed under: Macaca radiata (bonnet macaque)
Lineage: Eukaryota; Metazoa; Chordata; Mammalia; Primates; Cercopithecidae
Description: partial large subunit ribosomal RNA
Rfam family: Archaeal large subunit ribosomal RNA
Source: RNAcentral
UGCCCAGUGACACACGUUUAACGGCCGCGGUAUCCUGACCGUGCAAAGGUAGCAUAAUCACUUGUUCCUUAAAUAGGGACUCGCAUGAAAGGCACCACGAGGGUUUAACUGUCUCUUACUUUUAACCA